RNAcentral lists this ribosomal RNA (497 nucleotides) under uncultured bacterium. RNAcentral's name for it is "partial 16S ribosomal RNA". It matches the Rfam family "Bacterial small subunit ribosomal RNA", at positions 28 to 507 of the family's 1533-position model. The record is from RNAcentral.
GACGAACGCUGGCGGCGUGCCUAAUACAUGCAAGUAGAACGCUGAAGCUUGGUGCUUGCACCGAGCGGAUGAGUUGCGAACGGGUGAGUAACGCGUAGGUAACCUGCCUGGUAGCGGGGGAUAACUAUUGGAAACGAUAGCUAAUACCGCAUAAGAGUAGAUGUUGCAUGACAUUUGCUUAAAAGGUGCAAUUGCAUCACUACCAGAUGGACCUGCGUUGUAUUAGCUAGUUGGUGAGGUAACGGCUCACCCAGGCAACGAUACAUAGCCGACCUGAGAGGGUGAUCGGCCACACUGGGACUGAGACACGGCCCAGACUCCUACGGGAGGCAGCAGUAGGGAAUCUUCGGCAAUGGACGGAAGUCUGACCGAGCAACGCCGCGUGAGUGAAGAAGGUUUUCGGAUCGUAAAGCUCUGUUGUAAGAGAAGAACGAGUGUGAGAGUGGAAAGUUCACACUGUGACGGUAUCUUACCAGAAAGGGACGGCUAACUACGUG